Pelobates cultripes (western spadefoot toad) is the source of this 509-nucleotide non-coding RNA. The record is from the annotation of a GenBank genome assembly. Lineage: Eukaryota; Metazoa; Chordata; Amphibia; Anura; Pelobatidae.
CCAGAUAUUGCUGAACUACAACUCCCAUGAUUCUUUGAAUUACGUAGAUAGCCAGAGAAUCAUGGGAGUUGUAGUUCAGCAACAUCUCGGGGGCCGGAGUUUGAGGACCCAUGCUUUAAACAGUCUAUGUGGUUUCAUGUUAAGAAAUUCAUAGAAUAGACGACCUUAUCCCACAUAUAAUUCCAGGAAUCUUUACACCCCUUUGCGAUGUAUAUGGAGUACUUAAAAUACCACCUAUUUACUUAUUACACUGCUAUAAACUCACAACUCUGUCCCAUGUACGAUUACAACAAGUGGCCAUAAUUAGGGAUCAACCGAUUAUCGGUUUUACCGAUAUAAUCGGCCGAUAUUCGGUAUUUUCGGCAAUAUCGGUAUCGGCCAAUUCAGAUACCGAUAUUGCCGAUAAUAUCUCCUAGGACCGCCGGGCUCAUUACAAGCCCAGCGGUCCUGGGGCGAGCGGGCAUCAAGCGCUUACUCACCUCCCAGCAGCUCCUCCAGCUCCCCAGUGC